This is a long non-coding RNA of Cynoglossus semilaevis (tongue sole), 256 nucleotides long. RefSeq lists it as uncharacterized. The transcript is spliced from 3 exons. Lineage: Eukaryota; Metazoa; Chordata; Actinopteri; Pleuronectiformes; Cynoglossidae. The record is from RefSeq and is a predicted model, not a curated record.
AAAAAAAAGACUUAUGUUGAGUUUGUAGUUCGCAGGUCGCCGUGCUUAAAUUAUAUAGCCACCGCGUCACCAAUCGGACGUCCAUUUUGCUAAUUAGCAACAAAAGGAACAAAGCAUUGCAACAGGGUUGCUGAGGCGAUAGUAUCCUUUUACGACAAAAUUAAGCAGCGAACAGAGAGAUUAUUUGCCCAGUCACAACAAAACAAACCACCACAUGGUGUCGUCACAAGUCAUCACACCCACCGGCUACAAGCAC